Molecule: ribosomal RNA, 765 nt
Filed under: uncultured Streptococcus sp.
Lineage: Bacteria; Bacillati; Bacillota; Bacilli; Lactobacillales; Streptococcaceae
Description: bacterial SSU rRNA
Rfam family: Bacterial small subunit ribosomal RNA
Source: RNAcentral
GAUGAACGCGGGCGGCGUGCCUAAUACAUGCAAGUAGAACGCUGAAGCUUGGUGCUUGCACCGAGCGGAAGAGUUGCGAACGGGUGAGUAACGCGUAGGUAACCUGCCUCUUAGCGGGGGAUAACUAUUGGAAACGAUAGCUAAUACCGCAUAAAAGUCGGCAUUGCAUGAUGUUGACUUGAAAGGUGCAACUGCAUCACUAAGAGAUGGACCUGCGUUGUAUUAGCUAGUUGGUGAGGUAACGGCUCACCAAGGCGACGAUACAUAGCCGAACUGAGAGGGUGAUCGGCCACACUGGGACUGAGACACGGCCCAGACUCCUACGGGAGGCAGCAGUAGGGAAUCUUCGGCAAUGGACGGAAGUCUGACCGAGCAACGCCGCGUGAGUGAAGAAGGUUUUCGGAUCGUAAAGCUCUGUUGUAAGAGAAGAACGAGUGUGAGAGUGGAAAGUUCACACUGUGACGGUAACUUACCAGAAAGGGACGGCUAACUACGUGCCAGCAGCCGCGGUAAUACGUAGGUCCCGAGCGUUAUCCGGAUUUAUUGGGCGUAAAGCGAGCGCAGGCGGUUAGAUAAGUCUGAAGUUAAAGGCUGUGGCUUAACCAUAGUACGCUUUGGAAACUGUUUAACUUGAGUGCAGAAGGGGAAAGUGGAAUUCCAUGUGUAGCGGUGAAAUGCGUAGAUAUAUGGAGGAACACCGGUGGCGAAAGCGGCUCUCUGGUCUGUAACUGACGCUGAGGCUCGAAAGCGUGGGGAGCAAACAGG